UUUCGCAGGAGAGAGGGAGUGGCGCACGGGUGAGUAACACAUGGGUACCUGCCCCGCAGUGAGGGAUACCGGCGCGAAAGCGCCGACAAACCCGCAUACGCUCCCCCUUCACCAAGAAGGGGAAGCAAAGCUGGAAACAGCGCUGAGGGAGGGGCCUGUGGCCGAUUAGCUAGCUGGUGGGGUAAGGGCUCACCAGGGCGACGAUCGGUAGCUGGUCUGAGAGGACGAUCAGCCACACUGGGAUUGAGAACGGCCCAGACUCCUACGGGGGGCAGCAGUGAGGAAUUUUCGGCAAUGGGCGCAAGCCUGACCGAGCAACGCCGCGUGCAGGAGGACGCUUUUCGGAGUGUAAACUGCUUUUCGCUGGGACGAGAGACGGACGGUACCAGUGGAAGAAGCCCCGGCUAACUACGUGCCAGCAGCCGCGGUAAGACGUAGGGGGCGAGCGUUGUCCGGAGUUACUGGGCGUAAAGGGCCCGCAGGCGGUCUGGCGCGUUGGGGGUGACAGUCGGCGGCUUAACCGCCGAAGGACUCCCAAGACGGUCGGACUGGAGGGCCUCAGAGGGACAUGGAAGACCGGGUGGAGCGGUGAAAUGCGUAGAGAUCCGGAGGAACACCAAAGGCGAAGGCAGUGUCCUGGGAGGCACCUGACGCUCGGGGGCGAAGGCCAGGGGAGCGAACGGGAUUAGAUACCCCGGUAGUCCUGGCGGUAAACGAUGACCACUAGGUGUGCGGCGUAUCGACCCGCUGCGUGCCGACGCAAACGCAAUAAGUGGUCCGCCUGGGGAGUACGGUCGCAAGAUUAAAACUC
This 811-nucleotide ribosomal RNA is filed under the name uncultured Bacillota bacterium. RNAcentral's name for it is "bacterial SSU rRNA". It matches the Rfam family "Bacterial small subunit ribosomal RNA", at positions 75 to 902 of the family's 1533-position model. The record is from RNAcentral. Lineage: Bacteria; Bacillati; Bacillota.